AUCACCUCAAUGGACACACUGGGGAUCGUGUUUACCAAUGCGGUGAAUGCAAAGAUCAGCGUAUGCCUUCCGGAUGGGAUGUCUGGUGCACAAAAUCUUCGACCAUGUGAAGCUGAACGGCGUAUACGUGUGCCCCGGGCUGUCGAGCGGCACAAGUACCGGCACAGCCGAGUACUGCACCAGUAGCAGCAACAGCACCAGCACCAGCUAGAUCUAAUAAUGGCACACAGCGGAAGAAGAAAUUCCGUCAACGCCGGUCAACAGGUCAACAGCUUCGUCUUGAUGGACGAUCGCAUAGUUGAUGUAAUUUCCUUGGAAAAAACUUAUUCAUCUCGGACAGUCAAAUGCCUAAGCAAGCUGAUUUGUUUAUGCUGGAUCUCUGACACUGAGCUGGCGGGUGGAUUGGACGACGGUCAUCUGAUGAUGUUCAACGUGGACGACGGUGACGAAGAGACUAUGAAUCACGAGUUAAAGCAAAAUUUGCACAAUAAACAUCCGGUGCCUGCCGACUUGCAUGUUGAUUACGGAGGCGGAUGAAUUGGGUUUGCACAAGUACCCUCAGCAGUCAGAGCACAAUUGUUAUUAAUAAAGGUGGAGUUUGGAAGCAUUUGAUCGGUAUGGUCACAGUGGAAACGGAAGACCCCAUUCGAGAAGCAAGCAAACAACCGCGCCCUGAAAAAUAAAAGAAAAACAAGCGAUACGUUCUGGUGAACAAAACCGAUAACAAUAUGAGCACUCCCUUGCCAAAUAAACAGAAGGAUGAUUCACAAUUAAAGCCAGAGGGAAUCAAAACGCCAUUAACUCAGAAAAUAAAAAAAAGGUCAAGGAAGGAAUUGUGGCCGUACGUGAAAACAGCUGGACAGGCGGUCUCCAGGCGCGCACGUUCCUUAUCCACAUGAGUUGCGCGUGGCCCAUUUCCUCCGGAACUUGAACUUUGUUGUGCCUCAACACGGAACCAAAACCAAAGUCACUACCGAAAAGUUGUUGCACUCAGGAUGUUGCACUCACUCAUAACCUGCCAAUCCAGCUAGUUGACGUAGAUGUGGAUCAGUAAUCCCAGUUGAGUAACCGCGAAUCGAAUCCGAAAUCUGCUGCGUGAUCUGGUCAAGCUUCUUAAGAUCAUCGGGUCCGAUCCAAGAUACUACCAACAAGGACGACUAUCACCGUAAUUUAAGCCCAAUCAGGAAUCGCAGCACUCGAGAACCCGGUUGGAGAUCAAGAGAUGCGAUUAAUGCUAUGGAGCAGCUACAUUAACGUCCGCUGGCAAUGCUGUCUUUAGGGCAAACGCCAGCGUUGAAGCCUCGUCAUCACCAGCAAUUAUUGACCUGGAAUAUAGGAUAUCGUCAGUAGAAGAUUAUUACCCAGAAUAAUAUUUAAUUCUCGAUUUAAUUAAUAAUAAACAUGACAGUUUAGUAUAGCGUA
Molecule: long non-coding RNA, 1422 nt
Organism: Armigeres subalbatus
Lineage: Eukaryota; Metazoa; Arthropoda; Insecta; Diptera; Culicidae
Exons: 3
Source: RefSeq, a predicted model, not a curated record